GUGCUCGAUUCAGCAGCACAUAUACUAAAAUUGGAAUGCUACAGAGAAGAUUAGCAUGGCUCUUGAGCAAGGAUGACAAAUUUAUAAAGUGUCACAUAUUUUA
Jaculus jaculus (lesser Egyptian jerboa) is the source of this 103-nucleotide small nuclear RNA. The record is from Ensembl. NCBI's taxonomy places the organism in Eukaryota, Metazoa, Chordata, Mammalia, Rodentia, Dipodidae.